CCGGAAGUGCCGGAACUACGCCGGCAUCGUCCACAGGCGUUCACAGGGAGCGUGGCAAGCUGCGGAGCAGGAUGUCCCUGAGGCGCCCGGCCGGCCUGCGCCCAGCCGCCUGCUCCCCCAGGCCGGCUGCCAAGGCGCUGAGAGAGCUCGGCUAAGAACCCCCCACGCCUUACAGCUCAGCCCGUUGAAUCACCCCGUGACUCUUUUUCGAGCCCCGCGUUGGUGGGUGCCACGGGCGGCGGUGCACUUCGCCUUCAUUGGCGUGGCUUAGGCGGCAGAGCUGGGCUUAGGUCCUGCGGCCUGCGGGACGGACUUGCUCCAGAGUCUGCAGAGCCCACGCCCCCGAGGCCGCGAGAGAGGGAAAUGCGUGCGCCCGGUAUGCUGACGGCUCUGUGCGGUGCUCCCUGAUUCCGAGGAACUGCCGUCCAAGCUCCUUCACGCUCACAUUGAGAGCAUCUCCGUUCCCCAGGGUGGUUGGAAAAAUGAGUCAGAGUCCACCACGUCUCCUUCUCAGGGCUGGUGUGUGGUGGGACCAGAGGCCGAAGCGGUUAGCACAGCCGGCCUGCUGGGCACUCUCAGACGGGAGCACACUCGGGAGUUUGCCAGUGGCCAGGGAGGCCUUGCUGAAAUGUCCGUGGCAGUGUCGGCACUCGGGCCCGAAGGACGGGAGCGUCAAGGGGCUACUGAUGGUGAGGGGUCACUCCGGGAGGUUCUCAUCUGGGAGUGAGCUGGGAGCAGACCCCCAUUGGAAAUAAGCGAGGCGGACGGUUCGCGCAGGACUGAAGCCAGGGCUCCGGCUUGGAUCCUCCUGGAACGGCCAAUGUAGAGGCCCCGUGGAGGGCAGGACAGCUGGGAGGAGCAGAGGGGUCCGCCUGGAAAGACCUCUGAGGCUCAGAGCCCAUGGCACUGGCUGGGACUGCAGGCCCCGUGAAGCAUCUGGCGUCCGCACCCGCUCACCACGCCACCGUGCUGGAUGCUCACGGCAUCAGUAACCACACAGUGCGGCCCCACGGAGUACUUCCCGCACACCUGGCAGUCUGUGGGCUCACACUGUCCAGAGCAUGUUCGCCCGUGAGACAGCUGCUGAAGCAAGAGCUGUCUGGAACUAAGUAGAACACGGCUGACAGGUGCCCAGGAGCACGUCCGGAGCCCAAGGCCCCUCCAGCCCGUCACUGUCCCCUUGGUCCCACGUGGUCAGAGGUUCCAUUCAGGUGUUUCUGGAGAGAAGGCAAAUGAGCAGCGUCUCUCGCGAAACUUUGUCCUUUUACUCAGAAAGGAAUGCGCUUACCAAAAUUUCUAUCUGUGCUCAUGGACAGGAACCGGGGCGCGUGGCCCACGUGGCCGCAGGGAGCCUGGGAAGGUGAGCCGUCAUCAGGAAGCAUGGCCGCCCCAACAAGCUCAGGGUCCUCUCAGGGAACAAGGGGGUAUGGUGGACAUGUGUUGGCUGACGUGGCUGUGCCCACCGUCCUGGGAUGUGAUGACCAUUUUCAUUUUCAUAAUUUGAUGGAGGAGGAGAUUAAGGGACAGGCAAGCCAGGUCAUUUCUUUCCUGAAGACUACCUAAUAGACGGGGAACCGUAUCUCUCUGAGACCAUAGGCAACCUGAGAGCAGGACUGUGUGUUUGUCCUUUGCCCUGUGUAGCUGUGACCCCAUCACCAGACAGAAUGUCACUUGGAUCGAUGCCUGAUCGAAUGCCACGUUGAUGGCCCAGUAAAGUCCCGUGCAUGUCUCAGGCUUCCCCGUCCUCCCUCUCAGAGGAAAGAGUUCCAGAAGCCUCCCCAUGCCGGCAUGCAGUUCCUCUGGGCCCAGGCAGCGUGGGUGUGCCGGGAGGACCAGUUUCGGCCGACUGCCAUCCCAGCCACGUUCAGCUGAGCUCACCAGGACCGAACAAGGCCCGAAGUGUCUCAAAGAGUGUUUUUAACAAGUUGUAAAUAAUAUCUCACCAAGUCCCAUCGCUGCCUAGAAUUGAUGCAGCUGGUGAGAAGUAGUCAUGAUCCCGUGAAUCAUUUGUCCAUUUACAAGAACAUUUCAUUCACCUCCUUCCAGAAGGAUGCACAGAACACGCUUUAAAAGAAGGCGUAACUGGAACUGACAUAUGGGAAGGCUGUGUUGCAUUCCAGUUCCUCACUGGCUCAUGCGGUGUGUGCAGAAGAAGGGAUACUCGUAAUUACUGGGGAUUUUUAAAAAAAUAGAGAUAAUUUGUCUUAAGAAGAAACAUGGGCAUCUGCAGAAUGAUGACUUUGUCUCCCCGUGGUCUGCUCUUGGGUCAGAAACGUGGCCAGUACCCUGCCAUGUGAUUGCUGGCUUCUGGCCCUACUCUCUCACUCUCGAAGAAAGGGCGUAUGUCUCAGCCUCCUGCAGAACCACCCCGUUCUUGCCUCUUGUCGCCCCUGCUAAGGCUGAGCAUGGAUCUCCGUAUGUUGGCACGUGAACUAAGGAUUAAGCCUCUGGAAGAAAGUCAGAAUAUCUCUAAUGGGGAAGUCUUUCCUGCUACAGCGACCAUCCCUAUGACAGUUGGGCUUAAGGAGGAAGGGGGGUAGCUUGGAUGACCAGGGUUGCAUCAGCCCGCAAACCGAGCAGCCACGCCACGUAACAAAGCAUCCGACCCUCAGUGACUUGAGACAAAGGCUAUUUCUUCUCAUGACCAGGGUUCUGCGGGUUCACCUCGCUACAGCUGAUCUGGGCUACCCUCAUUCUGGGGCGGGCGAGUGGGGCAUGGCUUUAGGCUCCUGAAUAGGCUUGGGUCUUUUCCUCAGCUUUCUGCAGAGGCCAUAUCUGAAGUGGCGCCUCUGCCUGGUGCAUAACCUUCUCGGGGGAUCCCAGGAAUGAAAGCUUGCCCAACUCCAGGGCACAAGGACAUGGCAAGCCUCUGGAGGCAUUGCAUCAAGAAUAGCUCAUUAGCCCAGACAGGUCACAUAAUCCACCCAUGUGGACCACCAUG
Mustela lutreola (European mink) is the source of this 2941-nucleotide long non-coding RNA. RefSeq lists it as uncharacterized. The transcript has 4 exons. The record is from RefSeq and is a predicted model, not a curated record. NCBI's taxonomy places the organism in Eukaryota, Metazoa, Chordata, Mammalia, Carnivora, Mustelidae.